CACGAAGCAAAGUGAGCUAAUUUAGUACAUUUACUAGAAUGGUAAAUAUGUUACAUAAUAUUUCAGUGAUAUUGAAUUAGAAGUGAUAUUCUUCACACAUUUUGCGAUAUCUUGACGUGUCUGAUAAGUAUUUAGUACGAUGACAACUAAAGAGCGCUUAGGUUUUUUAGAAUUAUUAAUUACUAUAAAUUCUUAUUAGCGAUUUUUAAAAAUUUACUGCUAUACAACAUAAUAUUGAUAUAUUCUAUUUAUAAUUAUUAAGACACAAUGGUUAACUUAAGUAUACAUAUCUUAUGUUAUUAUAAGUAAUAAAUAGAUAUUAAAAAUGAACUCGGCAACAUAACUUUCAACUGUUUAUCAAAAACAUAGUUAUUAGUAAUUAUUAAUAAUUUGUUCUGCUCAAUGAACUAUUUAAAUAGCCGCAGUACCCUGACUGUGCAAAGGUAGCAUAAUCAAUUGGCUUAUAAUUGAAGUCUUGAAUGAAUGAAUUUAUGGGGGUUAGCUGUAUCUUUAAUAUAACAUUAAAUUAUUUAAAAAGUGCAAAUACUUUUAUAUAAAUAAUAGACGAGAAGACCCUAGAAAUUUUAAGACAAGGAAAAUAAUGGUUUUUGUUGGGGCAACAGUGUAACAAUAAACUUACAUAAUUACAUGAAAUAUAAUAGGUUGAAUAAAUUACUCUAGGGAUAACAGCGUAAUAUUAAUGUGUUUGCGACCUCGAUGUUGGACUAGGAAACGAAAGCUUAG
RNAcentral lists this ribosomal RNA (744 nucleotides) under Basedowena angatjana. RNAcentral describes it as "partial 16S ribosomal RNA". Lineage: Eukaryota; Metazoa; Mollusca; Gastropoda; Stylommatophora; Camaenidae. The record is from RNAcentral.